CAGGAUGACCUUCUCAAUAUGUCUUCCGGAAGUGUACGUUGUUAACUUCACUGCGCAUGCGCACAAACAACCGCGAAAACCGUUUCUUUGCACAAGAUGAAGCCAGCUCGAGGGUCGUCGAGAGCAUCAACACUGGGUCCUAAAUGCGCAGGACGGAGAGGAAAAAACUUACAGCAAAAACCAGUGCCUGAGAUUGAGAGCACACAAGAUAAGACAAGAAAGAAAGAGCUAAGAAAGGUGAAAAGUCAGGAAAAAUGGAAACCAUUGGACCCGGCCUCCAUCAGGGUCAUCGACAACAUGCUGAGUUUGUCAAUACUACACGUCCUUCCAAUGAGAUCAAAAGAAAAAGAGGAAUCACAGAAACACCUUAAUUCCUUGAAAGACCAGUUCCUAGCUAAAUGUUCUCAACUCCCUGUGCCACCUCAGAAACAUGGAAACUUGAUGCACUUGUCCCAACAGUUCCACUCUGAGAACCAGAAGAUUAAGAAUGGCAAAAAGAAAAUUGAGGCAUUAAAGGAGCGCAGCCAGGAGUUGGUUAGCCAACUGGAGCAGCUGCAAGGAAAGAUGGACUGUUUGGAGAAUGAGUGCAGGGUCAUGAGGAACAACCUGGAGGAAGAAGAGUUAAAAGCACAAACGUUUAUUCAGCUGGCCGAUCAAGCUGUUCUGCGUCUUCCUGCUUUACCACGAUAUCCUGAAGAUGAGCCCACGUUACAGAACUUCCAAAGGAUUCUGCGCUUGAGAGUCGACUCUGGGGAUUCCCGGGGAGGCCUCCAGCGCUCGAGCCUUGAAGGCUGUUAACUUCACCUCGAACCACAAAAUUGGCCAUGAGCGUGAGAGGACUCGGGAGUUCACUGUGAGCCGCCUCAACACCAAAAUCAAAAGUAUUUGUACACGUGGAAGAUUCCUCUUCUUGAUUGACAGGAGUGGAACCUGAUAUGAUCUUCUGCUGGAGCUCAUCCAUACCAAGGUUCAGAAACGUAAAGCUGAGAAGCUUCUCAUCUCACCACAGCUGAGUGAUUAUGUAGCAUAAUCUUACUUUAACCUACCUGUCAGCUGAACCAGUCUGACCGCUGUCCUCUCUCAACAAGGUGAAUUUACUCACUGACUUGCUGCUCACUAAACGGUUUCUUUUCCACCAGCAACAUUCUGUGCAAACUCUAGAGACUGUUGUCUAUGAAAAUCCCAGGAGAUCAUCACUUUCUGAACCGUGUUACAGUCAGUCAAUGAAAUCAGAUUUUCUCCCCAGCGUCAUGUUUGAUGUGAACAAACACAUAUCCAUUUAAUUGUAUGCAUUGCACUGUGUUUGCAUUGUAAUGUGCCACAAGUUCAGUUAAAUAAGCAGGUUUUCUUAUUAACGUGGUGGGUGAGUUUACAAUAAUAUUCUGGUAACUGGUGGACAGGCUGUUAGAACAACCCUAAAGUAAAAAUUUCAAUCAGUACCGAUGGAUGGAAACAUUCAACUCAACAACUCAACUCAAAGUGCAGGAAGAAGAAUGGGGCAGACACGUUGUAACGUCUAUUCCUUUUUUAGGUCAUAAGCAUGCAUUUGAUGUCAAUAGGGAAACCCACCUGUGUUACAAGAUGACUUAUAGAUAUGAAGUGAGAAUGUGAAUACGAAAAACUCCAUUCUGACUAAGAAAUUCUCCAUCUAACUCAAAACAAAAGUAUUAUGCUAAUUGUUCUGAUAGUCAUUUUUACUUUUUAAAGAAAUUGCCUCUAAUUCAUAGCAAUUCAAUUUCUAAGAAUUAAAAAAGGGGUUGUUUGGAGGGUUACUUCCAUUCCACCCAUGAGAAUUUAAUUACA
Tachysurus fulvidraco (yellow catfish) is the source of this 1803-nucleotide RNA transcript. It is a transcript of the gene named centromere protein Q, with no coding region annotated. The record is from RefSeq and is a predicted model, not a curated record. NCBI's taxonomy places the organism in Eukaryota, Metazoa, Chordata, Actinopteri, Siluriformes, Bagridae. The transcript is spliced from 10 exons.